GUAGAGAGUGCUUCGGGCGAGACCUCGGUCUAAGUCCAUUGGAACAUGGUGUCAUAGAGGGUGAGAAUCCCGUAUGCGACCGUGGCUCGAGCCCAUGUGAAGCCUCUUCGACGAGUCGAGUUGUUUGGGAAUGCAGCUCAAAAUGGGUGGUAAAUUUCAUCUAAAGCUAAAUACUGGCUGGAGACCGAUAGCGCACAAGUAGAGUGAUCGAAAGAUGAAAAGCACUUUGGAAAGAGAGUCAAACAGUACGUGAAAUUGUUGAAAGGGAAGCGCUUGCAACCAGACCUGCCCGUAGGCGAUCAGCCGCUGUUCUCAGCGGUGUACUCGCUCUGCGAUCAGGCCAGCAUCGGUUUCGGCGGUCGGAUAAAGACCUUGGGAAUGUAGCUUCCCUCCGGGGAAGUCUUAUAGCCCUCGGUGUAAUGCGGCCAGCCGGGACCGAGGACCGCGCUUCGGCUAGGAUGCUGGCGUAAUGGUUGUAAGCGACCCGUCUUGAAACACGGACCAAGGAGUCUAACAUCUAUGCGAGUGUUUGGGUGUCAAACCCAUACGCGGAAUGAAAGUGAACGGAGGUGAGAACCCUCAAGGGCGCAUCAUCGACCGAUCCAGAUGUCUUCGGAUGGAUUUGAGUAUGAGCAUAGCUGUUGGGACCCGAAAGAUGGUGAACUAUGCCUGAAUAGGGUGAAGCCAGAGGAAACUCUGGUGGAGGCUCGCAGCGGUUCUGACGUGCAAAUCGAUCGUCAAAUUUGGGUAUA
RNAcentral lists this ribosomal RNA (752 nucleotides) under Xanthoparmelia ajoensis. RNAcentral's name for it is "partial large subunit ribosomal RNA". It matches the Rfam family "Eukaryotic large subunit ribosomal RNA", at positions 151 to 919 of the family's 3401-position model. Lineage: Eukaryota; Fungi; Ascomycota; Lecanoromycetes; Lecanorales; Parmeliaceae. The record is from RNAcentral.